Molecule: RNA transcript, 1360 nt
Organism: Populus nigra (black poplar)
Lineage: Eukaryota; Viridiplantae; Streptophyta; Magnoliopsida; Malpighiales; Salicaceae
Exons: 5
Source: RefSeq, a predicted model, not a curated record
AUACCUAGGCUUUCUGGAUUAUUAAUUAGGAAUAGUAAUCGCUUAGCAAAUUCUGCAACGGAGGAUGGGCGACGUCCUAGGGAAGAUAAAAGGUGAUCCGGAUAUUGAACGAGAUCGGGGAAUCCAAACUCGGGAAGAUCAGCUCGGGAAUGACCUGCUAAAAUACACGAGGAGUGCAGAACAAGGCAUAGAAUACCACAACAAGAAGCACGAGGGUGCUAAAUUUAAGCUGGUGGAGAUCAUAUCUGCAUGUUCUUUCUUUUCUAUGGGUGUUUGGGAGCAUAUCAACUUCACUGCUUCUGAAGAUGACAAGUCUCUGAAAUUGUUUUUUGCUGAAUUGUCACAUGGAGAAGCUCAUUGGGGAAGGAAUCAUAAUACAGAGGCCGAAAAAAUCACUGCAUGUUGUUUGUUGGAAGAAGGGUCUACCAAAGAUUACUGUGGAUUUUGUCCCCAUGAAGACAAAGUUUAUCACCCUCUUCAGGGAUUUACAGCAGGGAUUCGCUGGUGAUUUUCUUGCUUUUUGUUGAGGAGCUUCCUUCAACCAAUAUGCCGAAAACUAUAAUGAAGCGCAACCUUAUUCCCACCCAAUAGUAUCCUACCCUACACCCCUUCAGCUAGCAAACGAAUUGUCAGUUUUAAUGGUCCAUGUGCAUGUUUGAAUAGCUGUCUUGCGAAUUUGUAUGUUGUUGUUGCGGUAUCUUUACAAUGGAAAGAAAUGAAAAGAAACUAAGCUUGCGAGUUUGAAUGAGCUUGAAAUAUUUUUCAUUUGAAGGAUUAUGAGUGCACUAAGCUUAUUUUAAAGUGUUUGUGUGGCAUCGUCUUUCUUCGAUUUCUAUAAGCAGGCUUGUGGAUUCUUGAAUGAAGGGAAGGUGUCAUUAUUCCAGUGUUUCAACCUUGAUCCCCAGCACCUUAAGGAUAGGUGUGGACCUUGGUAGAGGAAAAUGAGUCCAGAUUAUUUGGGGGAUUCAAUCGGCUAACUCCCAGGAGAAAUUGUUGCUUCCAUUGUGUCCCGCUUGAGAAUUAGAGAAGCAGGAAGAACUAGCAUCCUUUAGGGUAGAUGGAAAAAUGCGUGGACAAUGACCGCUUGCUUACACUUUGAUGGUACAAAUUCAAUGCGAGAUGUCUGCCUGAAUGAGGAACUGUUGACUACGUGAGUGUGUAUGAUGGAUGAAUCAAGUGUCUGCCUCAAUUACAUGCCCCCUUUUAUAUGUAUGUAUGUAUGUUUGUUAUAUGCAUCCACUGUGUAGUUGUAGGUCCAAUUCAGAAACUGAUUUGAAAGGGGUCAUUGAAUCAACCCGCGGGUCAUGGAUUCAAUUUUUUGCUUGGGGUGUAAUGCACUAUAAUAUAACAUUCGGCUUCA